This 163-nucleotide ribosomal RNA is filed under the name Calamagrostis chalybaea. Its description in RNAcentral is "5.8S ribosomal RNA". It matches the Rfam family "5.8S ribosomal RNA". Rfam says of the family: 5.8S ribosomal RNA (5.8S rRNA) is a component of the large subunit of the eukaryotic ribosome. It is transcribed by RNA polymerase I as part of the 45S precursor that also contains 18S and 28S rRNA. Lineage: Eukaryota; Viridiplantae; Streptophyta; Magnoliopsida; Poales; Poaceae. The record is from RNAcentral.
CACANGACUCUCGGCAACGGAUAUCUCGGCUCUCGCAUCGAUGAAGAACGUAGCGAAAUGCGAUACCUGGUGUGAAUUGCAGAAUCCCGCGAACCAUCGAGUCUUUGAACGCAAGUUGCGCCCGAGGCCAUUCGGCCGAGGGCACGCCUGCCUGGGCGUCACG